Rhagoletis zephyria (snowberry fruit fly) is the source of this 678-nucleotide long non-coding RNA. RefSeq lists it as uncharacterized. The record is from RefSeq and is a predicted model, not a curated record. NCBI's taxonomy places the organism in Eukaryota, Metazoa, Arthropoda, Insecta, Diptera, Tephritidae.
GGUGUAUUCAAUAUUCAUUUUUUGGUGAAUUCUUUGGACAAUUGUCAAUUGCCCACAGAAAUUAUCAGGAAUUGCGGAAAGAGAUAUCCAGCUUAUAGGCAGAGUCAGCAGCAUACGUGGCGAUUUUCGGGAAAAAGUUUUCGUAGCGUUUUUGAUGUUUUUUGGUUUUGUUGACAUCGUCUUCAACCUCUUCAUAGUGAUUUUUCAGCGACUUGAUGUAUUUUCUGCAGCGAUUUAAACUAUAAAUUUUGAUUUAUUACGAAUAUAUGAUAUAAAUGAAGUGCUUUGUGAUUUGAACAAGUUUGUGCGUUGGUUUGGGUUGCAAAGAGGCGUAAAUUUGCGUGGAAAGUGGGUGCACUUUUGUGGUCAGAAAAAAUCGAACUGUGCUGAUGCUACUUGGUUGCAAAACACUUUCAUUUUUAUUCAGUUUCAGUUAUUAUAUUUGAUGAUAAAUGCCAAUAUAAUCGCACUCAACCUCCACACAUUUUUCGUCUUAUUUGUUUGUUUUCAUUCUUAGGUUUUGUACUUAAAAUGACGAUAUGUAUACUAAACCCUACCCUGUUUAUUUAUGUAUUUAUCAUUAAGAAUUUUCCAUUAAAAUAGAUACAGUUCAGUGUCUAACAAAAUACAUAUGUAUGUAUAAAAACGGAGAUAAUAAAAUGAAUGUUUUUAACUUAA